RNAcentral lists this ribosomal RNA (253 nucleotides) under uncultured bacterium. Its description in RNAcentral is "partial 16S ribosomal RNA". It matches the Rfam family "Bacterial small subunit ribosomal RNA", at positions 524 to 776 of the family's 1533-position model. The record is from RNAcentral.
UACGGAGGAUGCGAGCGUUAUCCGGAUUUAUUGGGUUUAAAGGGUGCGUAGGUGGUUUUUUAAGUCAGUGGUGAAAGUUUGUCGCUCAACGAUAAAAUUGCCAUUGAAACUAGUUAGCUUGAGUAUGUUUGGGGUAGGCGGAAUGCGUAGUGUAGCGGUGAAAUGCAUAGAUAUUACGCAGAACUCUAAUUGCGAAGGCAGCUUACUAAACCAUAACUGACACUGAAGCACGAAAGCGUGGGUAUCAAACAGG